UUCGAACCAAUCAUAUUAUCCUCUCUGGCGUCCAUGGGCGUGACUAACCGCGUCUGUCUGUUAAAGGUAGCAGGUUGUACAUGGCGAGCGGUUUACUCACUGAGGGUUGGUGAUUGGUGUAAUGGAAGCCGUCUCUGAACCGCAUUUAAUGACGGAGAACUACAGAAGUGGAGAGAAAACGCAGCACUGAGCAACUUGUAGACUUCACACCCGACUGUAGAAUCCCUUCUAUUGUGUGCUGGAAGAUCGCUGGACUUGAAGCAACUCCAAAUGGUGGCCUGUUUGUCCAAAGCCCAGGCUGACCCCCCACCCCUUCAACCUUUGCAGCAAUGCUGGCAGCACUAUUUCCCAAAGACAACCUCUGGAUAUGACGCUGAGCACGUGCACUCAACUUCUUCUUUGGUCGACCAUGGCGAGGCCUGUUCUGAGUGGAACCUGUCCUGUUAAACCGCUGUAUGGUCUUGGCCACCGUGCUGCAGCUCAGUGUCAGGGUCUUGUGCCCAAAGCCCGUGGUGGUGACAGUGCAUGGCGUUUGUGUGGAAGCAGGUCUGUUGGGAGUGUUAAGUACCAUCAUCUCAUACACUCACCACAACUCUGGGAAGUUCCAUCCAUAUUGUUUGCUGUCACUUUUCCUGCAAAGCUUUAACCAUCAGAGAGUUAUCUUUUACUGGGGCUUUUAGCUGCAGGAGACUGAAUUACUAAGUUUUUUUUUUUUUGUGGAUCUGAUCAGGGCACACUCUGAACAAUUAUUUACAUUUGCAGUUUGUUGAAGAUUAAAUAAACCACAGUGAGCAUCAGAUGUCUGGUUUUAAUACAAAGUUUUAUGAUGAACUAUUUUAUGAUAUUACCAUCUUGUCAUUUAUCAAAGAAGAGCUACAAAACCUGAAAUUUGUUCAUUUUUAGACAGAAAAAUUCUGCAGUGUAGCUCUUCUAGUGGGCUUUCCCACUGGAUGUUUAGUCCAACACAGAGCAGUUUGCAUGAAAAGUUGGUAAUGUGACCGUCGUAAUGUGGACUGGGAAGUGCACUGCGGUACCGAACCCGAGACUACCUGUAGAAGGUGGUCCGAGUUCAGUUACAAUGGAACUGUGAAUGUGAAUUGUCCCAUGAAUGUGAACGUAACUUGUAUCCGGGUCCGCACUUGUUCAGGAAGUAGAGUAACCUGUGCUGAAGGCCUGUUGUGGUGAUGACGUGUCAUGACAUGUUUUGGCCCAAAUCUGCAGUAACUUUGAAAAAGUGGAAGCUCCUCUGAAUAUUGUGGAGUUUCUUGAUUUUGCGUUAAUUUCUGUGAUCACAAAAAGGUGAAAUUCUGGACUGACACAUGGAAGAUAUGGAAUGAUAACAGAAGAAUGUGACUUUGGGUUGUACCAUGUAUUUUUUUCAUGUAGCUUUAUUAUUUAGUAUAAAUGAAGGCAAGUGUGUGUUCUGUUCUUCAUCUCUGCAGUCGUGUGUUCCCUGAUAGUCCAUGAUUGCUGGAGCUCUGGAAAUAGCAGGUGAGAUUGCAGGCCGGAGUCGCGUCGCUGUCCAAGGAACCAAAAUCAACCUCCUCUACUCCUGAGACCACAGUGUGACUGAGAGCCUAGACUACAUGGCUACUUGGAACAUGAACAUGUUGCAGACACAGGAUCUUAUGAAGUCAGCGCAGGCAGCCCUGGAAAAGAAGAGUCCAAAAGACGUGCCCUUCUCCAAGCUUUAAAGGAGAAGAUCCAGGGCUGUUGAAGCUGCGGUGGAACUGAGACAUCAUCAUCCACAUAUCUUCAGUUCUUCUUGCUAAGAGAACGAGAAACUCGGACACAACAGUACAUCCUGACCAUUGGUACUGUGUACACAUCAACAUACACACACGUCUCCAUGCUGGACAUCUCAGGAGCUUUCACACAGUGCUAGGAAUAUCCCGGGACAGAGAAACGCACCUUCUAAG
Molecule: long non-coding RNA, 1919 nt
Organism: Ictalurus punctatus (channel catfish)
Lineage: Eukaryota; Metazoa; Chordata; Actinopteri; Siluriformes; Ictaluridae
Exons: 6
Source: RefSeq, a predicted model, not a curated record